AUACGUAUUAUAGAGCUGCUGGCUCGGUCCUUUCAUGGCUGAGCGAUGUGCGGAGCCGUUAACGGGUCAUGUGCCCUUCAAGAGUCUCUUGUGCGAGCCGCUGCUGUUGCUGUCCUGUGCCUGCCGCGCUCGAGAGAUCCCCUCGGAGUGGAGAGACGAGCGUUAGCCGUGCAGUCCCGAAGCGGAAGCUGGAGGAGGUUGAGGCGCCGCCGGGCAAGCGGCCUGGACUGGGGGGAAGCAGUCUCUGGGGAAAGCAGAGUGGCGUGGGGGGCAGGUGGCGCGGCGAGCCCGCGGAGUCCAGGGCGAGUGGACGGCAGAGGGAGGCGCUGACCAGGAUAUGAAAAGCAGGAAGGGUGAAGCAUUGUUUCUAAUGGGCUUCCAAGAACUGAGCUAGCCUCUGCUGUUGAAGUAACAACUUAACACUGGGAAAAUAGGACAUACGAAAACAGGAGCUUAAAGAAUGAACAAACAAGAUAUCUCUGAUCUUAAGUCCUCGAAGUCUUGGGUUGAAGAGGUCUUCAGUAAAAGAGAAUGCGCAAGCAUCAUUCCUAGUUUAAAAGAUCUUCAUAGGUAAAACAGUUAAUUUAACUUUGUUACAUUUAGAAAGAAUCAGAAUAAAUUUUUAUGAGCAUUGUGUGUAGUUUGGAUGCAGUUCUUUCCAGUUUUGCAAUGCCCGAGUUAGUUAGUGAUUGCUGAUGUUUAUGGGUUUCCAUAGUUACCGCCAUGAGUACAUUUUAAAUGUGGUUGUUUAAAUUAGAAAUUGGCAAUGAUUAACCUUCCUGGGCUUCUUGGAUAUUUUGCUCUCAGUCCAAUAACCAAAACUGUGGUAUGGCAUCCAACUGAGAGAGAGAAAAAUGACAUGCUUAACAUUGAAUU
Long non-coding RNA from Harpia harpyja (harpy eagle), 876 nucleotides. RefSeq lists it as uncharacterized. The record is from RefSeq and is a predicted model, not a curated record. NCBI's taxonomy places the organism in Eukaryota, Metazoa, Chordata, Aves, Accipitriformes, Accipitridae. The transcript is spliced from 3 exons.